This 474-nucleotide ribosomal RNA is filed under the name Leptosphaeria sp. ELM112. RNAcentral describes it as "eukaryotic LSU rRNA". The stretch from base 118 to 271 matches the Rfam family "5.8S ribosomal RNA". The record is from RNAcentral. Lineage: Eukaryota; Fungi; Ascomycota; Dothideomycetes; Pleosporales; Leptosphaeriaceae.
CUGUAUUUUACCCUUGUUUUUCUCAUACUAUUAUUUCCUCGGCAGGCUCGCCUGCCGGGUGAAACAACUUCAAACCUGUUUAAUUUUCAAUCAGCGUCUGAACAAAUUAAUAAUUACAACUUUCAACAACGGAUCUCUUGGUUCUGGCAUCGAUGAAGAACGCAGCGAAAUGCGAUAAGUAGUGUGAAUUGCAGAAUUCAGUGAAUCAUCGAAUCUUUGAACGCACAUUGCGCCCCUUGGUAUUCCAUGGGGCAUGCCUGUUCGAGCGUCAUUUGUACCUUCAAGCUCUGCUUGGUGUUGGGUGUUUGUCCUUGCUCUAGUGGCGGGACUCGCCUUAAAGUAAUUGGCAGCCAGUGUUUUGGUUUUGAAGCGCAGCACAAGUCGCGAUUCAAGUCUAUACGCUAGUUUCCACAAGUCUUUUAUCACUUUUGACCUCGGAUCAGGUAGGGAUACCCGCUGAACUUAAGCAUAUCA